UCGGGAAUUUUGGGCAAUGGGCGAAGGCCUGACCCAGCAACGCCGCGUGAAGGAUGAAGUAUUUCGGUAUGUAAACUUCGAAAGAAUAGGAAGAAUAAAUGACGGUACUAUUUAUAAGGUCCGGCUAACUACGUGCCAGCAGCCGCGGUAAUACGUAGGGACCAAGCGUUGUUCGGAUUUACUGGGCGUAAAGGGCGCGUAGGCGGCAAUUCAAGUCAUCUGUGAAAUCUCCGGGCUUAACUCGGAACGGUCAGAUGAUACUGCUUUGCUAGAGUGCAGAAGGGGCAAUCGGAAUUCUUGGUGUAGCGGUGAAAUGCGUAGAUAUCAAGAGGAACACCUGAGGUGAAGACGGGUUGCUGGGCUGACACUGACGCUGAGGCGCGAAAGCC
RNAcentral lists this ribosomal RNA (389 nucleotides) under uncultured bacterium. RNAcentral describes it as "bacterial SSU rRNA". It matches the Rfam family "Bacterial small subunit ribosomal RNA", at positions 355 to 761 of the family's 1533-position model. The record is from RNAcentral.